Molecule: small nucleolar RNA, 128 nt
Filed under: Dasypus novemcinctus (nine-banded armadillo)
Lineage: Eukaryota; Metazoa; Chordata; Mammalia; Cingulata; Dasypodidae
Description: Small nucleolar RNA SNORA30/SNORA37 family (ENSDNOG00000048209.1)
Rfam family: Small nucleolar RNA SNORA30/SNORA37 family
About the family: The members of this family belong to the H/ACA class of snoRNAs that guide the sites of modification of uridines to pseudouridines. This family includes human ACA30 (SNORA30), ACA37 (SNORA37) and the mouse homolog MBI-26.
Source: RNAcentral
UUAGCACUUUCAUAGGUCUUCCCCCAGGCUGUGGGGCCAGGAUUGGUAGCUGAUGCUGAGAAAAACCCUUUGGGUACAUCCUUGUCCUGGGACGGUUCCAGUGACAGCUGUCACUCAAUGGGACAGAG